UUCUCUUCAUUUGUGUUGCAAACAAAAGUUUUUUGAUAGCAGGUUGAAGAAAGGGUGAACAAAGUUUGGCUUCCAAGAUCAAAUAGGAGGAGUUGAAGACUGAUUUUUGAAGCUUCAACAAGUGUUGCAACAUCAUUUCCAUACAUUUGCAAGCUCCCAUUGGCUACAAGAGGAACUAGAAUGGCAUCUACCUCUUCCUUCGUUGGCAAUGAACAAACAAUUACAAAACAAAUAAAUGAUCCGAAUUCUCCCUUAUGGAAGUAUGUUGACAAUUUAAACCCACUUCCAGGAGGUGGGGGAUUCCGUUGGAGAUGCCAAGGAUAUGUUAUUGAACGUAAUAGUUCAUAUUAUCGGGUUGUAGGCCAUUUGUGUGGAAUAAAAGGAAGAGGCGUCAAAAAAUGCCCUGGAAAAGAUGGUAAACCUAUACCAGAUGAGACAGUGAUGAAAUAUUUUAAGGAGCAUGAGGAGGCAGGAGAGAGAGAAGCCCGUAGAUUGAAUCAAACGCAGCAAAGAAAACAAGGGGAAUGCAAGCCCCAUCUAAUCCCGAUGUUGUAGUAUAAGACCACCCCUUCUUUUCCACAAAUGAACCUGAAAAUGAACCACCCUUGACAUGCAAAAGAACAAAGGGGCCUUUAGAAACUGCAUUUCAAAAUGAGAGUAGAGACAUUGCUGACCAAGAUAUAGAAAGGUGCAUUUGUGCAAAUGGGUUGGCUUUCAAUGUUGUUCGCUCCCCAUAUUGGAAGCAAAUGAUAAAAAGUGUUAAUGAAGCUCCAAGAGGGUAUAAGGGCCCAGGUUAUGAGAAGGUACGUGGAACAUUAUUAGACAAAGAGGUGAAGAGGGUUGAAGAUGCAUUGAAACCCAUAAGGGAUUCAUGGGCUGAGACAGGUGUAACAAUUGUUUCAGAUAGGUGGAAAGAUGCUAAAAAUCGUCCCUUGAUCAAUGUCAUAGCGGUGUCCCCUAAAGGGGCAAUGUUUUUGAAAGCUGUGGAUUGUGAGGGCCAAGUAAAAGAUGGCCAAUUUAUUGCAGAAAUUCUCAUCUCCGCCAUUGAGUCAGUGGGACCCCGCAAUGUUGUCCAAGUCAUAACGGACAAUGUAAGAAAUUGUAGAGCUGCUGGUUUGUUGGUUGAGGAACGCUAUGAUCACAUCUUUUGGACACCUUGUGCGGUCCAUUCACUCAAUCUUAUGCUACAAAGAAUUGAGACUAAAAUAAAAUGGAUCAAAGAUGUGUAUGCAGAGGCUGAGGACAUCCAGAUGUUCAUCACAAACCACCACGUCUCAAGGGAUUUUUAGAUCCUUUUCGAAUUUGGAGCUAUUGAAGGUUGCCGAGACCCGUUUUGCAUCAAACACAAUCGUCUUAAGACGACUUGUGAAAGUUAGAGUGGCACUAUGCAACAUGGUGAUCAACAACAAUUGGACUGUAUGGAAGCAGAGUAGCAGUGAGAGGGUAGAAAAAAUUAGAGAGAGAAUAUUGAAUGAGAAAUGAUGGGAACUUGUUACAUAUCUCCUAAGUAUCAUUGAGCCCAUUAUGAGUAUCAUUGACUCAAUGCUUGAAAAAAUAAAGUUCACUAUAAAUGCAAAAGAGAAUGACCCCGAGGAGAAAUUCUUCAAAGAAGUGAAAGCAAUUAUUUUAGAGAGGUGGAAUAAGAUGACCAUUCCUUUGCAUCUUCUUGCCUAUGCCUUGACACCAAAGUACUAUAGCAAUCAGUUUCUUGCUAAAUUAGGAAGGAUUCCACCAUGGAGAGAUCUAGAAGUAUCUGAUGGGUACAAGGCAACAUUUCUUAGACUAUAUCCUGAUGAUGAUUUGUGAGAUAAUGUUACAACCGAGUUCAUAGAAUUUGCAAAUGGGAAUGGUCUAAGUGUUGAGGCACUUAGUCAUAGAUCCAAGAAGGAUGCUCAUAGCUGGUGGUACUUCCAUGGUGCAUGCUUCCAACACCUACAACCCCUCGCUGUAAACGUUUUAUCACAAGUUGCUUGUUCAUCUACUUCAGAUAGAAAUUGGAGCACAUACUCUUUCCUUCUUUCAUCCACUUAGCUAAGCGCAAUAGGUUGCUAUCAAAAAGAGCGGAGAAUUUAGUAUAUGUGCAUUCCAACCUACGUCUUCUUUCACACAAACAACGUGACUACACAUAAGGGGAAACGAAGAUGUGGGAUAUAGAGCCAGAGCAUACUGAUUUGGAUGCUCCUGCUUCUCAGCUUCUUGCAUUGACACUUGAUGACUUGGAGGGCGAGCAAACUUAUAGUGCAAGUGCAAGUGGCGUUGGCUCAUCUAAUGCCAAUGUCAAUGAUAAGGAGGAUGAGGAGGAGGAGUAGGAGGAUAA
Molecule: long non-coding RNA, 2317 nt
Organism: Cryptomeria japonica (Japanese cedar)
Lineage: Eukaryota; Viridiplantae; Streptophyta; Pinopsida; Cupressales; Cupressaceae
Exons: 4
Source: RefSeq, a predicted model, not a curated record